This 309-nucleotide ribosomal RNA is filed under the name Polarella glacialis. RNAcentral describes it as "partial Bacterial small subunit ribosomal RNA". It matches the Rfam family "Bacterial small subunit ribosomal RNA", at positions 663 to 985 of the family's 1533-position model. Lineage: Eukaryota; Dinophyceae; Suessiales; Suessiaceae. The record is from RNAcentral.
AAAAUGUUAAUUGUAAUAGUGAAAUGUGCAUAUAAUUGGUAGCUUAUUUCUUUGAUAUUGGUAGCUUGGGGUCUUUAUAGAUAUUCUAUUCACGAAAGCUUGAGGUGUGACAGGGAUUAGAUACCCCAUUAAUUCAAGUGAUAAAUUAUGGCUUAUUGUAGAUUGGAUCUAUUUUUAACAUGUGAAGCUUGUUAACCUAAGGAGUACGCUUUCAUAAGUGAAACUUAAAUGUUCUGGUGGUGAUUUAGAACAAUAGUGGAAUAGAUGAUUUAAUUCGAUGUUAUGCGAUAAAGCUUAUCAGUUAUCAAA